This 543-nucleotide ribosomal RNA is filed under the name bacterium Ellin6535. RNAcentral's name for it is "bacterial SSU rRNA". It matches the Rfam family "Bacterial small subunit ribosomal RNA", at positions 315 to 858 of the family's 1533-position model. The record is from RNAcentral.
GGUACUGAGACACGGACCAGACUCCUACGGGAGGCAGCAGUAAGGAAUAUUGGUCAAUGGACGGAAGUCUGAACCAGCCAUGCCGCGUGCAGGAAGACGGCCCUACGGGUUGUAAACUGCUUUUGUACGGGAAUAAACCCACCUACGUGUAGGUGGCUGAAUGUACCGUAAGAAUAAGGAUCGGCUAACUCCGUGCCAGCAGCCGCGGUAAUACGGAGGAUCCAAGCGUUAUCCGGAUUUAUUGGGUUUAAAGGGUGCGUAGGCGGCCUAUUAAGUCAGGGGUGAAAGACGGUAGCUUAACUAUCGCAGUGCCUUUGAUACUGAUAGGCUUGAAUGUACUUGAGGUAGGCGGAAUGUGACAAGUAGCGGUGAAAUGCAUAGAUAUGUCACAGAACACCAAUUGCGAAGGCAGCUUACUAAAGUAUGAUUGACGCUGAGGCACGAAAGCGUGGGGAUCAAACAGGAUUAGAUACCCUGGUAGUCCACGCCCUAAACGAUGAACACUCGAUGUUGGCGAUAUAUGGUCAGCGUCUAAGCGAAAGC